Molecule: long non-coding RNA, 358 nt
Filed under: Elaeis guineensis (African oil palm)
Lineage: Eukaryota; Viridiplantae; Streptophyta; Magnoliopsida; Arecales; Arecaceae
Description: long non-coding RNA (EGUI_LNC037162)
Source: RNAcentral
GGUGAACUAGCCGUUGUUAAGAAUGUAAUAACCUAAAAAAAAUCCUUAAGCGAAAACCCCCUUGCACAAAUCUCCAAAAGUGGAAACAAAAACAAAAAAAAUUGAAAACCUCAUGUGCGGAGCAUGUGAUGCAGAAAGAAGUGGAACUCUCGAAGGAGUCCUCUUUUUCUCUUCGAAUCUGAUCGGGAGAAGGAUCCUAGGCUCAUCCAAACUCCGACAAAGAUCCUAAAUCUUCCAUUUAUAAAUCCCCCAACCCCCUUCCUCUAGACAUCAUCCAAUCUUUUCAUCAAAUCUUUGGUGAAAUCAAUGUCUUAAAAGGUUCUUUCCGUCGAGUCUUCUUCAUGGGAUUUCAUCAGGG